AACAGGUGUUAAGAGGAAGAGAGGAGCAAGCAUAUAUAUAUGGCACUCCAGGAAGAUGAAGCUUGCUUUGCUGUGACUAAAGAGAACUUGUAAGGAAGCCUGUGUCCAUAGAUUGUCAUGGUAGCUCGCAACCUUUACUUUCUUUACGUGUGUCAAGUAAUUCCAGGGAGUAGACGUGUAUGCAGCUGUAGUCUGGGAGGUCUGAUGUUAGGGAAAAAGAAGGAGGAAAGCAAGAUUAAAAAUCAUUCCUGGAAAUGCAAGAGAAAAUGUGCUGGAGUGGUGCUGUUAGUACCAGGGACACUGGACAAGAAAGAUAAGCAAGCCACUGCUGUCUGAUUCCUACAUAGCAGGUUAAAGUGUUGGAUUCAUAAUUCUCACUUCAGGAAGACUGAAAACCAGACUUUAUUCUGCUAGAUCCCAAGAUAUCAAGGAAGAGGAAAAGGGAAGAGCCCCAGGCACUAUUAAACCACAGCUACAAUCACUGCCAUUUGAAACUUCCCACCAAACAACUUUACUAUUCUGAUUUAAUUUCAACUCCCAGGGAGAGUUAGUAUUAAGAGGAAGUACCUAUCAUCCAUGAUAAUCCACCAGCUCUGGGGGUUUAGAAGGGAAAGGAUGGAGGUCUCAGUGCUUGAGGC
Molecule: long non-coding RNA, 638 nt
Filed under: Homo sapiens (human)
Lineage: Eukaryota; Metazoa; Chordata; Mammalia; Primates; Hominidae
Description: long intergenic non-protein coding RNA 1490
Source: RNAcentral